This 465-nucleotide ribosomal RNA is filed under the name Vreelandella stevensii. Its description in RNAcentral is "partial 16S ribosomal RNA". It matches the Rfam family "Bacterial small subunit ribosomal RNA", at positions 338 to 795 of the family's 1533-position model. Lineage: Bacteria; Pseudomonadati; Pseudomonadota; Gammaproteobacteria; Oceanospirillales; Halomonadaceae. The record is from RNAcentral.
CCUACGGGGGGCAGCAGUGGGGAAUAUUGGACAAUGGGGGGAACCCUGAUCCAGCCAUGCCGCGUGUGUGAAGAAGGCCCUCGGGUUGUAAAGCACUUUCAGUGAGGAAGAACGCCUGGUGGUUAAUACCCAUCAGGAAAGACAUCACUCACAGAAGAAGCACCGGCUAACUCCGUGCCAGCAGCCGCGGUAAUACGGAGGGUGCGAGCGUUAAUCGGAAUUACUGGGCGUAAAGCGCGCGUAGGUGGCUUGAUAAGCCGGUUGUGAAAGCCCCGGGCUCAACCUGGGAACGGCAUCCGGAACUGUCAAGCUAGAGUGCAGGAGAGGAAAGUAGAAUUCCCGGUGUAGCGGUGAAAUGCGUAGAGAUCGGGAGGAAUACCAGUGGCGAAGGCGGCCUUCUGGACUGACACUGACACUGAGGUGCGAAAGCGUGGGUAGCAAACAGGAUUAGAUACCCUUGUAGUC